ACUUGCCCCUCCCCCAGAAAAGCAGGACUUGCCACUAAGGGUGAAGGAGAAGGGGUUGAGGGGUACUUGCCCCUCCCCCAGAAAAGCAGGACUUGCCACUAAGGGUGAAGGAGAAGCGGUUGAGGGGUACUUGCCCCUGCCCCAGAAAAGCAGGACUUGCCACUAAGGGUGAAGGAGAAGGGGUUGAGGGGUACUUGCCCCUCUCCCAGAAAAGCAGAGAAGGGGUAGAGACAAGGAGAGAAGGGGUUGGGGUACUUGCCCUUCCCCAGAAAAGCAGGACUUGCCGCUAAGGGUGAAGGACCAAGGCAGGCGUCCCUGCGUGGUCUGACACCCUUGAAACAUGAGUGUAUAAUCAGAGGCGUCCCUGCAAUGAUUAAACACCAAGGGAAGGCUGCCUUCCCAGUCCAUGACCGGCGCCGGAGUUUUGGGUCCACGGAUUUGUCUCUACCAGAAAAUGAAAGGAAUUGAAAUUAAGAGAAGGGAGAAAUUGAAGUGUGGCACCAAGAUUGAAAGGAGAAAGAGGUUGAGGGAUAGUGAGGGAGGUUGGAGAAGAGAGUAAAAAGAGGCCGCUUGCCGGAUUUGAAAUUGGUGAGAUGUUUCUUGGGCUGGUCACUCUGAGGACCUGAGGUCGUAGGUGGAUCUUUCUCAUGGAGCAAAGAACAGGAGGACAGGGGAUUGAUCUCCCAAGGGAGGUCCCCCGAUCCGAGUCACGGCACCAAAUCUCAUGCGCGUCCGUAUGAAGAGACCACCAAACAGGCUUUGUGGAGAAGAUGUCGAAGACACAGGAGAAGACAAGCCAGGGAGAGGGGCUUAGAGCAGAUUCUCCCUUGCAGCCUCAGAAGGAAUCAGUCCUGGUCACACCUUGAUCUCAGACUUCUGGCCUCCAGAAUGAAAAGAGGCAGUUUGGGCAUAGGGUGGCAGGAAGAAGGGAGAGGUUCUUUACGGAGUGUGUGAUCCGCAUGAGAUGGCAUGCCGAGUGCCAUCUUUGCAUGGCUUUAUUUUUACUUUUAAAGAUGAGAAAGCUAAAAUGGAAUGUCUAAAAGAGUAUACAGGUCCUAAAGCCACACAGCCAGGGUGAUGGAAAUAUGAUAUGAUUCAAAUCCAGACUCAGCGGCCCUAAAUACUGUGCUUCAAUCUUUAAAACCCAAAAUACAUGUGGACCAAUGUUUGGAGCAACAAGAGGCUGUGCCUUUCUACAUUGUCUAACUUUAGGGAGAGAAGCCUUCAAGACACGGAGAGACCUGGCCCCAUGGAGAGAAAGAGCGAUUCACACCUAGGAAGGUAUAGUGUAGCCAGCAGUGCUCAGGAGACAGCACCAGAUUUUUGCUGGUAGCAGCAGCAAAAAUGGCAAAAUGAGGACUUUUGAGAAUUCCUUUCUCUAUGGAAACAAAACCCUGGGGGAAAAUGGUCUGAAUCAACCUUUUCAGAACUCUGGAAAUUAGCCCGAGACUUGAAGCAAUUCAGGUUGCAUUUGUAUAAGAAAAGUGACAGAAUCUCAGUAAGAACAGCAAGCUUUGAAGGAUUUGAACUUGCCCAGUUGCCUUCCUUCUUUCUCCAUCUCUGCAGGGGACUUAAAACCAACAUCCCACACUCAUAAUGAAAACCUGGCAGGAGGCAGAACAGGAUUGGAGCUGCUUCAAAGCCUUAGGUCCAGAGAACUCAUCACCUAUGCAGAUCCUCAAUAAGACUCAAAGCUGAUUCCGCCUCAGAAACCAUGGAGACCCAAAGCCAAAUUCAAAGUGCUGAAAGUUAACUCAUCCAAUCAGUCAACUCUUGUACAGACCUCCUUUUUUUUUGUUCUUGGAGUUUGUUUUAUUCUAAUAAAGGUGUUUUAUAUUGUUGUUGUAUUAUUCUUAAAUACCAUAUUUUAGUUGCUAUUAUAAAUGGUACUUCUAUUGCCGUUUUGUCUAACAUUUUCUGGUGGUCAAAUUUCUAGCUAGUGUGGAAGAACACUGAUGGUUUUUACUUAUUGAUUUUCUCUCUGGCAAUCUCACUAAACCUUAUGAUAAGUAAUAAACCUUAUGAUAGUAGAAAAGGUUGAUAUGAUAUGAUAGUAGUAAUCCUCUGGAUUACCCAUCCCCUCUUGAUAAUCUCUGUUGAAAUAAUCACAUUAUGUGCAACUAAUGACAAUGUCACUGCUCUUAUAGUCUCUAUGUGCAUUUCUUUUUCUUGUCUUACUGCUUUGACUCAUUCAGUUGACUGCCAUUCACAGAACAGAUGUGGAACGGUUGUUUUCGUUAUCAUGUGCCUAAAAAGAAUGUGAUUAAAAUUUGCCAGUUCAAUAUAAUAUUGGAUGUAGGGUUUUAAUAAAUAACUUUCAACAAACUGCAAGAGUCAUCUUCCCUUUCUAGUAUUCUAAUG
Molecule: long non-coding RNA, 2361 nt
Filed under: Homo sapiens (human)
Lineage: Eukaryota; Metazoa; Chordata; Mammalia; Primates; Hominidae
Description: non-protein coding lnc-ID2-9:1
Source: RNAcentral